AUAUUUACCAUGCAAGGGUGAUUCCAUGAUCAAGAAGGUGGUUUCACCAGGGCAAUAUCCAUUGCACUCUGGAUGGAUUGACCCCUGUGAUUUCCUCAAAUGUGGGAAACUUGACUGCAUAAUUUGUGGUAGUGGGGGACUGUGUUUUCACUCUCCUUUU
Small nuclear RNA from Vombatus ursinus (common wombat), 160 nucleotides. Its record names the gene U1. It matches the Rfam family "U1 spliceosomal RNA". Rfam says of the family: U1 is a small nuclear RNA (snRNA) component of the spliceosome (involved in pre-mRNA splicing). Its 5' end forms complementary base pairs with the 5' splice junction, thus defining the 5' donor site of an intron. The record is from Ensembl. Lineage: Eukaryota; Metazoa; Chordata; Mammalia; Diprotodontia; Vombatidae.